This 164-nucleotide ribosomal RNA is filed under the name Euphorbia prostrata. Its description in RNAcentral is "5.8S ribosomal RNA". It matches the Rfam family "5.8S ribosomal RNA". From Rfam's summary of the family: 5.8S ribosomal RNA (5.8S rRNA) is a component of the large subunit of the eukaryotic ribosome. It is transcribed by RNA polymerase I as part of the 45S precursor that also contains 18S and 28S rRNA. The record is from RNAcentral. Lineage: Eukaryota; Viridiplantae; Streptophyta; Magnoliopsida; Malpighiales; Euphorbiaceae.
UAAACGACUCUCGGCAACGGAUAUCUCGGCUCUCGCAUCGAUGAAGAACGCAGCGAAAUGCGAUACUUGGUGUGAAUUGCAGGAUCCCGCGAACCAUCGAGUUUUUGAACGCAAGUUGCGCCCGAAGCCUUUUGGCUGAGGGCACGUCUGCCUGGGUGUCACUC